This 254-nucleotide ribosomal RNA is filed under the name uncultured bacterium. Its description in RNAcentral is "partial 16S ribosomal RNA". It matches the Rfam family "Bacterial small subunit ribosomal RNA", at positions 524 to 776 of the family's 1533-position model. The record is from RNAcentral.
UACGAGGGGGGCGAGCGUUGUUCGGAAUUAUUGGGCGUAAAGGGCGCGUAGGCGGUUGGAUAAGUCUUGUGUGAAAUCUUCGGGCUCAACUCUGGGCGUGCGGUCGAUACGGGCAUCACUUGAGUUCGGCAGGGGAGACUGGAAUUCCUGGUGUAGCGGUGAAAUGCGCAGAUAUCAGGAGGAACACCGGUGGCGAAGGCGGGUCUCUGGGCCGAUACUGACGCUGAGGAGCGAAAGCAUGGGUAGCGAACAGG